GCUAUUUAGGUUAGAGUUUGAUCAUGGCUCAGGACGAACGCUGGCGGCACGCUUAACACAUGCAAGUCGAGCGGAAAGGCCCCUUCGGGGGUACUCGAGCGGCGAACGGGUGAGUAACACGUGGGUAAUCUGCCCUAGACACAGGAAUAACCAGUGGAAACGCUGGCUAAUGCCUGAUGAUGUGCCGGCUUUUCGGGGCUGGUACCAAAGGUAGCUUCGGCUUCCGGUCUUGGAUGAGCCCGCGGCCCAUUAGCUUGUUGGCGGGGUAAUGGCCCACCAAGGCGACGACGGGUAGCUGGUCUGAGAGGAUGGCCAGCCACAUUGGGACUGAGAGACGGCCCAGACUCCUACGGGAGGCAGCAGUGGGGAAUCUUGCGCAAUGGCCGAAAGGCUGACGCAGCGACGCCGCGUGGGGGAGGAAGGCCUUCGGGUUGUAAACCCCUGUUGCCCGGGACGAAUGUGCUCCAUUGGGAGCAUUGACGGUACCGGGUGAGGAAGCACCGGCUAACUCCGUGCCAGCAGCCGCGGUAAUCGCC
RNAcentral lists this ribosomal RNA (536 nucleotides) under uncultured bacterium. RNAcentral describes it as "bacterial SSU rRNA". It matches the Rfam family "Bacterial small subunit ribosomal RNA", at positions 1 to 526 of the family's 1533-position model. The record is from RNAcentral.